Molecule: transfer RNA, 55 nt
Filed under: Trichuris suis (pig whipworm)
Lineage: Eukaryota; Metazoa; Nematoda; Enoplea; Trichinellida; Trichuridae
Description: tRNA-Cys
Source: RNAcentral
GGGAAAGUAAUAUAUAGAAGUAUAUAAAAUUGCAAGUUUUAAUGAAAGUUUCCUU